This 1358-nucleotide ribosomal RNA is filed under the name uncultured bacterium. RNAcentral's name for it is "bacterial SSU rRNA". It matches the Rfam family "Bacterial small subunit ribosomal RNA", at positions 28 to 1381 of the family's 1533-position model. The record is from RNAcentral.
GAUGAACGCUAGCUACAGGCUUAACACAUGCAAGUCGAGGGGCAGCAUGGUCUUAGCUUGCUAAGGCCGAUGGCGACCGGCGCACGGGUGAGUAACACGUAUCCAACCUGCCGUCUACUCUUGGACAGCCUUCUGAAAGGAAGAUUAAUACAAGAUGGCAUCAUGAGUCCACAUGUUCACAUGAUUAAAGGUAUUCCGGUAGACGAUGGGGAUGCGUUCCAUUAGAUAGUAGGCGGGGUAACGGCCCACCUAGUCUUCGAUGGAUAGGGGUUCUGAGAGGAAGGUCCCCCACAUUGGAACUGAGACACGGUCCAAACUCCUACGGGAGGCAGCAGUGAGGAAUAUUGGUCAAUGGGCGAGAGCCUGAACCAGCCAAGUAGCGUGAAGGAUGACUGCCCUAUGGGUUGUAAACUCCUUUUAUAAAGGAAUAAAGUCGGGUAUGGAUACCCGUUUGCAUGUACUUUAUGAAUAAGGAUCGGCUAACUCCGUGCCAGCAGCCGCGGUAAUACGGAGGAUCCGAGCGUUAUCCGGAUUUAUUGGGUUUAAAGGGAGCGUAGAUGGAUGUUUAAGUCAGUUGUGAAAGUUUGCGGCUCAACCGUAAAAUUGCAGUUGAUACUGGAUAUCUUGAGUGCAGUUGAGGCAGGCGGAAUUCGUGGUGUAGCGGUGAAAUGCUUAGAUAUCACGAAGAACUCCGAUUGCGAAGGCAGCCUGCUAAGCUGUAACUGACAUUGAGGCUCGAAAGUGUGGGUAUCAAACAGGAUUAGAUACCCUGGUAGUCCACACGGUAAACGAUGAAUACUCGCUGUUUGCGAUAUACAGCAAGCGGCCAAGCGAAAGCGUUAAGUAUUCCACCUGGGGAGUACGCCGGCAACGGUGAAACUCAAAGGAAUUGACGGGGGCCCGCACAAGCGGAGGAACAUGUGGUUUAAUUCGAUGAUACGCGAGGAACCUUACCCGGGCUUAAAUUGCAGAUGAAUUACGGUGAAAGCCGUAAGCCGCAAGGCAUCUGUGAAGGUGCUGCAUGGUUGUCGUCAGCUCGUGCCGUGAGGUGUCGGCUUAAGUGCCAUAACGAGCGCAACCCUUGUUGUCAGUUACUAACAGGUUCCGCUGAGGACUCUGACAAGACUGCCAUCGUAAGAUGUGAGGAAGGUGGGGAUGACGUCAAAUCAGCACGGCCCUUACGUCCGGGGCUACACACGUGUUACAAUGGGGGGUACAGAGGGCCGCUACCACGCGAGUGGAUGCCAAUCCCAAAAACCUCUCUCAGUUCGGACUGGAGUCUGCAACCCGACUCCACGAAGCUGGAUUCGCUAGUAAUCGCGCAUCAGCCACGGCGCGGUGAAUACGUUCCCGGGCCU